RNAcentral lists this ribosomal RNA (479 nucleotides) under uncultured bacterium. RNAcentral describes it as "partial 16S ribosomal RNA". It matches the Rfam family "Bacterial small subunit ribosomal RNA", at positions 28 to 507 of the family's 1533-position model. The record is from RNAcentral.
GAUGAACGCUAGCGGCAGGCCUAACACAUGCAAGCCGAGCGGUAUUUGUUCUUCGGUACAGAGAGAGCGGCGCACGGGUGCGGAACACGUGUGCAACCUGCCUUUAUCUGGGGGAUAGCCUUUCGAAAGGAAGAUUAAUACCCCAUAAUAUAUUGAGUGGCAUCAUUUGAUAUUGAAACCUCCGGUGGAUAGAGAUGGGCACGCGCAAGAUUAGAUAGUUGGUGAGGUAACGGCUCACCAACUCAAUGAUCUUUAGGGGACCUGAGAGGGUGAUCCCCUACACUGGUACUGAGGCACGGACCAGACUCCGACGGGAGGGAGGAGUGUAGUGUACAGGGGAAGGGGGUAGGGCGUGAUCAAGCCGUGCGGCGGGAAGAGCGACUGCGGUAUGAGUGGUAAACUUCUUGUGUAGAGGGAAAAAACGACUCUCGUGAGAGUAACUGAAGGUACCAGAAGAAGAAGCACCGGCUAACUCCGUG